Long non-coding RNA from Mus pahari (shrew mouse), 479 nucleotides. RefSeq lists it as uncharacterized. The record is from RefSeq and is a predicted model, not a curated record. NCBI's taxonomy places the organism in Eukaryota, Metazoa, Chordata, Mammalia, Rodentia, Muridae. The transcript has 3 exons.
CCUGGGAACCACUCUGGCUGGAAAUCCUGCGGCUUUUUUGGAGGGUGUGAACUCUCCUGAGAUGGACCAGAAGUGCUGUGUGCUCUGAUGAAAAGAGUUCUUUCCAGAUAAGCAGAUAUACUUGGGGCUGCGUGGAGUGGAUACCGGUCCCAGUUUGCUACCAGCAAUCCCAACCCAAGAUGCAGAAAUCAUGUAAGAGAGGAGAAAGCAAUAAGAAAACGGACUCCCAUCCCUCAAGGUCCAGAACCAUGCCUCUUCUCUCUGGCAAACUAGGACACCAGUAUACUGCCCAGCUUCCAAAACACAUAUGAAUGAUGGAGAAAGCCGCCCAGAUUUAACAAAAGCUGUGUGGGAGGAAGGAGAGAGCAAAGACACACUCAUCAGCCGGAAGACUUGGCUAAAUGACACAAGGAAAAGUGUGACUCCUGACCUCGGAGUUAGGCUUGACAGAGAAAUGCCUGCUGAGCAAAUGGGAUCUA